RNAcentral lists this non-coding RNA (91 nucleotides) under Peromyscus maniculatus bairdii (prairie deer mouse). The record is from RNAcentral. Lineage: Eukaryota; Metazoa; Chordata; Mammalia; Rodentia; Cricetidae.
GGCUUGUCUGGUGGUAGUGGGUUAUCAAUACUGACAUUAGUGUCACUAAAGUUGUACACAAAUCCCCAGUGCUAAAUUUAACUGACUUUAU